Molecule: transfer RNA, 69 nt
Filed under: Loxodonta africana (African savanna elephant)
Lineage: Eukaryota; Metazoa; Chordata; Mammalia; Proboscidea; Elephantidae
Rfam family: tRNA
About the family: Transfer RNA (tRNA) molecules are approximately 80 nucleotides in length.
Source: Rfam by way of RNAcentral
GCAGUGGUGGUUCAGUGAUAGAAUUCUCGCCUUCCAUGCAGGAGACCCGGUUUGAUUCUGGUCAGUGCA